Molecule: unclassified non-coding RNA, 354 nt
Filed under: Hevea brasiliensis (rubber tree)
Lineage: Eukaryota; Viridiplantae; Streptophyta; Magnoliopsida; Malpighiales; Euphorbiaceae
Source: RNAcentral
AAUAAUGACAGAACAACAGUAGGGUUAGAAAGGGAAGUGACGGGUAUAGGUGGUUGUAAGUCAUUAGGAAGUUCAAUGAUCAAAAUAAUGAUUAUAGGUAAGGGUGGAGUUUGUAUUGGAAGGAUCUAGUAGUGAGAGAUAUCUUUCAGAAUAUAGUAAAAGUUAGGGGCACGAUAUGAAUGAUGAUAGGUAUAAAAUAUAGAUCGAGUAUAAGCAAAGUUAAUAAAUUAUAAAAUGUUUUUUCAGGUAGGAGGGUGGUACAAUAGAUGGCUGGUGCAACUGAUACCUUAUGGGUAGAGCACAAUUUUUGCAAUGAGAUUAUAAAAUUUGAAGAAAAAGACCAAGAGACAUGGG